This is a long non-coding RNA of Sapajus apella (tufted capuchin), 725 nucleotides long. RefSeq lists it as uncharacterized. The transcript is spliced from 2 exons. The record is from RefSeq and is a predicted model, not a curated record. Lineage: Eukaryota; Metazoa; Chordata; Mammalia; Primates; Cebidae.
UGGUCCUUUGAAGUUUAGCACUCUCUUCCAGCCUUAAGGUCCAGGUUCCUAAGAACCUCCCUGCUAAGAAGCUUAGCAGUGGAAAAACUUAAAAGGUUACAGGGAAUAUACUCAAGAGACUGAGGCAGGAGAAUUACUUGAAACCAGGAGACAGAGGUUGUAGUGAGCCAAGAUCGCACUACUGCACAAUCUUGCACUGUCUGGGUGACAAAGCAAGACUCUGUCUAAAAAAAAAAGUUCUGGGGAAUAGAGCAAAAUUUUGGAAGCUCUUAUUAGAACUUUUCCCAUUUGCCAAACAAAACAGAAAAGAAUUUAAAUGUUUUAAUAAAAUGUUUUUUAUUCAAUUUAAAAUAGAUGUAAUUUAGUGUCCAUUAGCAUUCAUGUGUCAUCUCUUAUGCUCUAUCAAGAUUGAUUUCUUUGGAGCUAGAGGCCAUUUAUCCUAAAUGAAGUAACACAGAAACAGAAAACCAAAUACCACGUUCUCGCUUAUAAGUAGGAGCUAAACAUUGAGUACACAUGGGCACAAAGAAGGAAACAGCAGACACCAGGGCCUACUUAAGGGUAGAGGCUGGGAGGACGGUGGGGAUAGAAAAAGUACCUAUCAGGUACUGUGCUUAUUACCUGGGUGAUUAGGUAAUUUGUACACAAAACCCCUAUGUCACACUAUUUAUCUAUAUAAGAAACCUGCAUGUGUACCUCUAAACCUAAAAUAAAAGUUGUUUUUU